AACGCUAUGUUGGACUUAGG
RNAcentral lists this small nuclear RNA (20 nucleotides) under Arabidopsis thaliana (thale cress). RNAcentral describes it as "snRNA_08130". The record is from RNAcentral. Lineage: Eukaryota; Viridiplantae; Streptophyta; Magnoliopsida; Brassicales; Brassicaceae.